Molecule: unclassified non-coding RNA, 550 nt
Filed under: Hevea brasiliensis (rubber tree)
Lineage: Eukaryota; Viridiplantae; Streptophyta; Magnoliopsida; Malpighiales; Euphorbiaceae
Source: RNAcentral
GGAUGUCUUUGUUUUUCCUCUGCACAGUUUGGAUCGAACCUCUCUGGUUUAAAUUUCUCUGGUUCAGGGAAGUUCUUAGGGUCCUUAGCAAGAACUCCAAGAGCCAACCAAACCCAUGUUCCCUUGGGAAGUUUAUAGCCUCCAAUCUCCACUUCAGCUGAUGUUUCUCUGGCAACUAAGGGCGAGACAAUGUAACACCUCAUUGCUUCUUUGAUUACCUGAUCGAGGUACGGGAAUUUCUGCUGAAGAUCAUUGGCAGUGGGCAUGUUAUCAUCAGGGCCAAAAGCAUCUAUCUCAGCAAGCAACUUUUGCUCAACUUCUGGAUGGCAAGCAACCAGAUAGAUGAUAGAAGACAAAGUAAAGGAUGUUGUUGCAGAACCCGCCAGCAAGUGCUCAUAAGUUACAGCACUGAUAUAAUCUGAGGUAAAAACAUUCUUAGCUAACUUCUCUGACUCCCUUGCCUGCAUUAUAAGUGACAAGAAGUCUUUCGAGCUACGAUCUUUUUCCUCAAUCCUCUUUGCCACUAUCUCAUCCAGCCUACUGCUUAAAU